ACUUGUAAGUAUAUAAAAUAUGAACAAAUGAAAAGAUGUUACUUACAAAACCAGCUUUUUAUAUAAAAGGAGAAGGCAAGGCUGGAAGAUUACAAGAUUCAGAGGUAAAGAGAAUUUUAGAGAGACUAAAAUUGCGACUGACCUCCAACAAUACAAGUGAGAGUCUUUUAUAGACCUCAGAUAAAGUAAAAGCAUCUUGUGCUU
Molecule: long non-coding RNA, 204 nt
Filed under: Nicotiana benthamiana
Lineage: Eukaryota; Viridiplantae; Streptophyta; Magnoliopsida; Solanales; Solanaceae
Description: long non-coding RNA (NBEN_LNC000145)
Source: RNAcentral